RNAcentral lists this ribosomal RNA (467 nucleotides) under Neochanna cleaveri. RNAcentral's name for it is "partial 16S ribosomal RNA". It matches the Rfam family "Bacterial large subunit ribosomal RNA", at positions 1953 to 2571 of the family's 2925-position model. The record is from RNAcentral. Lineage: Eukaryota; Metazoa; Chordata; Actinopteri; Galaxiiformes; Galaxiidae.
AAGGUAGCGCAAUCACUUGUCUUUUAAAUGGAGACCUGUAUGAAUGGCAAGACGAGGGCUAAGCUGUCUCCUUUUCCAAGUCAGUGAAAUUGAUCUCCCCGUGCAGAAGCGGGGAUUAAAACAUAAGACGAGAAGACCCUAUGGAGCUUUAGACACUAAAUAGCCCAUGUCAAGCAAACCCUAAGUAAGGGCAAGAACUUAAUGGCGCCUUGUUUAAUUGUCUUCGGUUGGGGCGACCGCGGGGGAUAAACCAGCCCCCAUGUGGAAUGGGAGUAUUCUCCUACAACCAAGAAAAACCUUUCUAAGCAACAGAAAUUCUGACCAAAAAUGAUCCGGCAAUGCCGAUCAACGGACCCAGUUACCCUAGGGAUAACAGCGCAAUCCUCUCCCAGAGUCCCUAUCGACGAGGGGGUUUACGACCUCGAUGUUGGAUCAGGACAUCCUAAUGGUGCAGCCGCUGUUAAGGG